CUCCCCCUCCCCGCCCCUCUUUUGAGGGCGGCGCGCCCAUUUUUGGAGCGGCCUGCCGGGCCCGCCCGGGCCUUCUCCGGUGUUGAGCAGUGCGCCCCAAGACGCUGCGUCGGCCGCCACUCGCUUGUUCGUCCGCCCCGGCACCGCCGCUGCUCUGUGUGGACUAAUUUUUCCCGUGAGCAGAGAAGAAAAGAACAGCCGCCACCAUGGACGCGAUCAAGAAGAAGAUGCAGGCGAUGAAGCUGGAGAAGGACAAUGCCAUGGACAAGGCAGACACCUGCGAGCAGCAGGCUAAGGACGCCAAUGCUCGCGCAGACAAGGUGAAUGAGGAGGUGCAGGAGCUGAAGAAGAAGCUGACCCAGGUUGAGGAGGACCUGGUGAACACCAAGAACAAGCUGGAGCAGGCCAACAAGGACCUCGAGGAGAAGGAGAAGACACUGCAGAACGCGGAGAGCGAGAUGGCUGCCCUGAACAGGAAGCUGCAGCUGAUUGAGGAGGACCUCGAGAGGUCUGAGGAGCGACUCGCCACCGCCUCCACCAAGCUGGCCGAGGCAUCAGAGGCCGCUGAGGAGUCCAAGCGAAUGUGCAAAGUGCUGGAGAACCGCAGCUUGCAGGACGAGGAGCGCAUGGACCAGCUGACCAACCAGCUCAAGGAGGCCCGACUGCUCGCUGAGGACGCCGACGGAAAGUCCGACGAGGUGUCACGCAAGCUGGCCUUCGUUGAAGACGAGCUGGAAGUGGCUGAGGACCGAGUCAAGUCCGGAGAUGCCAAGAUCAUGGAGCUUGAGGAAGAGUUGAAGGUCGUCGGCAACAGCUUGAAAUCUCUGGAAGUAUCAGAGGAGAAGGCCAACCAGCGAGUAGAGGAGUACAAGAAGCAGAUCAAGACCCUGACUGUCAAGCUAAAAGAGGCGGAGGCCCGUGCCGAGUUCGCCGAGAAGACGGUCAAGAAGCUGCAGAAGGAGGUGGACAGGCUGGAAGACAACCUAUUCAACGAGAAGGAGAAAUACAAGUCGAUUACCGACGACUUGGACUCCACGUUUGCCGAGCUUACAGGAUAUUAAACAAAAAAAAAUAUCGCCUCCAAAACAAACAAAAAAAAGUUGCACAUGCAAAUGUCUGUUACUUGUCUACACGUCUCCGUUCUUCUCUCACAACAACAACAAAAAUGUGUUACUGUUCUGUCCGACUUAACAACGCAUUGUGUGUGUUUUGUGCUGUUGCCAAAAAAAGACUUUUCCGGGUGAUGCAAACAAAAAAAGACGGACUAUUAACUGCUGCUGCCUCGUGAGGACUGCUGCAAGAAGACGAGCUGGGCAUCAACAAGGACAGAUACAAGUCGCUGGCCGACGAGAUGGACUCCACUUUCGCCGAGCUGGCCGGCUACUAGAGCGCUGCCACCCGCUUCUGACGUCACUGCUGCCACCGACACCAGCGCCAUCAUCUCGCAGGCUGCCGCAUCUCCUCCGACAUCCACCAAAGGCAGCGAGAGUCCUGCAACAACGACCAACUGGCAAAUGGCACUGCCACUCACAACAAUGCUUUUCGUGUGUUUCCUCUCUUACUUUCUUGUCGCUUCUCUCUUUCUCCUACGUUCGUUCUCUAAUUUAGCUGUAAAAUCGCUCAGCAGCUCCUGUCUCUAUCUUUCUCUCUCUGUCUUUCUCCAUUUCGGCUUGCUUUACAAUCGAUUGAUACGGGAAAAGAAACUUACAGGCAAUCGUCCACUCAUUCUGACGUCCAUGGGGCUCUUACGGGAGGCGCAUUCUCAAAACUAAGUGCGCCGAAUGAUGUUUCACACUUUUCAUCACAUACCACGAAUGAAGCCUGCAUAAAAUUAGACGCGUGCAAACAUUACAUUCAACAUAUCAUAUGACUAUUAUGUUUUCUGUAUCUUCUUUCAGUUUUGUUGUAAGAAGUUAACUGGACAAUACUCGAGACCAGUUCUGAUAUGGAGUAACAUAUUGACAAUGUUGAGAGUACUUGUGUGUUAAAUAUAGAGCAGAUAUGUCAACUAAAAGCUCAAUAUCUGUAAAUUUUAGUUCUUUAAUUAAAUUAUUGAACUAAACCAGAAGUUUACUGUCCACUUUAUUUUUCGAAUAAAAUAACUGUGACGUUCAA
Molecule: RNA transcript, 2115 nt
Organism: Schistocerca cancellata (South American locust)
Lineage: Eukaryota; Metazoa; Arthropoda; Insecta; Orthoptera; Acrididae
Gene: Tm2
Gene name: tropomyosin-1
Exons: 11
Source: RefSeq, a predicted model, not a curated record